RNAcentral lists this ribosomal RNA (301 nucleotides) under uncultured bacterium. Its description in RNAcentral is "partial 16S ribosomal RNA". It matches the Rfam family "Bacterial small subunit ribosomal RNA", at positions 509 to 807 of the family's 1533-position model. The record is from RNAcentral.
CAGUAGCCGCGGGAAUACAAAGGGUGCGAGCGUUAAUCGGAUUUACUGGGCGUAAAGCGUGCGUAGGCGGCUUUUUAAGUCGGAUGUGAAAUCCCUGAGCUUAACUUAGGAAUUGCAUUCGAUACUGGGAAGCUAGAGUAUGGGAGAGGAUGGUAGAAUUCCAGGUGUAGCGGUGAAAUGCGUAGAGAUCUGGAGGAAUACCGAUGGCGAAGGCAGCCAUCUGGCCUAAUACUGACGCUGAGGUACGAAAGCAUGGGGAGCAAACAGGAUUAGAUACCCCGGUAGUCCCUGUCUCUUAUAC